Molecule: ribosomal RNA, 253 nt
Filed under: uncultured bacterium
Lineage: Bacteria
Description: partial 16S ribosomal RNA
Rfam family: Bacterial small subunit ribosomal RNA
Source: RNAcentral
UACGGAAGGGGCAAGCGUUGUUCGGAAUCAUUGGGCGUAAAGGGCGCGCAGGCGGCUCUGUAUGUCUGCCGUGAAAGCAUACAGCUCAACUGUAUUGUGUCGGUAGAAACUGCAGGACUUGAGGCUGGGAGGGGCUGGUGGAAUUCCCUGUGUAGCGGUGAAAUGCGUAGAGAUGGGGGAGAACACUCGUGGCGAAGGCGGCCAGCUAGACCAGUUCUGACACUGAGGCGCGACAGCGUGGGGAGCAAACAGG